UCAACAUUUUCAAGCAUUGAAAAAUGCACACAUUGCUUGGACCUUUUGUUGCCCUCAGGUGGAAUGGUGUGAAAUGUAAAGAUUGUUCUUCUAUAUGGCACAAGAUCUGCUAUAAAAAGAUUCAGAGGACUGAUUUUUCACCAUCUUCAUGGGUUUCUGAUGAAUCAUCUUCAGCUGAUGAUGUUUCAGACAAAGAAUACAUACCUGACUCUGUCAGUUACUCAGAUAGUUCAGUGGAACUCUCAAUAGAUGAUUCAAAUCAUUUCAAAGGGACUAUUCUUGAUCCUGGAUUCAUUGCAUCUUUACCAGACUGUCAAAAGAGUGAUGGUGCAGAGAAUGACUUGGCUGAAGGUUUUAUUUCUGAAAGUGAAGACCGUGCUAAAAAGGUUGUUCAGAAAAAGAA
Molecule: long non-coding RNA, 403 nt
Organism: Poeciliopsis prolifica (blackstripe livebearer)
Lineage: Eukaryota; Metazoa; Chordata; Actinopteri; Cyprinodontiformes; Poeciliidae
Exons: 3
Source: RefSeq, a predicted model, not a curated record